GGGUCAAUGAGAUAUUUUUUGCUGUUAUGGAUCAUGCGAAGCCAAUGAUGGAGACAAUGCGAAGGACAGGCCAAUUAUACACAAGCAUAUGAAAUAUUAUCUUGUAUUAGUUGGUAAACCUCUUAUUGGAUAUAGAAUUGUUGAUAUUGGGCCAAUUCUAUGCAUCCUCAAGCCUAAAAGAAAAACGUUCAAAAGCCACCAAAGGCUGGAGGUAAUGCGUGACCAGAGAAAUGAAUUCACUGAAACCGAGACAAGCAUAGGUUUGCAUCAUG
Molecule: unclassified non-coding RNA, 272 nt
Filed under: Hevea brasiliensis (rubber tree)
Lineage: Eukaryota; Viridiplantae; Streptophyta; Magnoliopsida; Malpighiales; Euphorbiaceae
Source: RNAcentral